GGAAACCAGUCAGAUGUUACAGUCAGUUCAACAAGGACUGGCACACUCUCACUUACUGGCAAUCAGAAUGCUGAGAUGGAUUUACAGACAGACAUAAAACUGGCCAAUACCUACAAGGCAAUAACCGGCUGCAUCCUAACAGACGACACUCACUUGCAUUUCAGUGGACGAGGACCAUGUACACUCUGUGUCUUCCACAACUGAAGAAGUGACACAGUUUAGGGACAACGGAAGGCCUCACAGACUCUGCCAAGCCGGGGAGAGGGCCAGGACACGGUGAGCCAACGGGACAACCGGAGACUGCUUUCAUUUUUAUUUUUGGUCUUUGCCACGUUAGUCUUUCACUAAUCUUUCACUAGUCUUUCACUAGGUGGGCGUUGUAAUCGGCUCACCCUCCCGAGUGAGCUGGAGACCUCCAUCCGCCUGGGCAGUCAACCACGGGGCCCCAGUAAAGGCUCUGGGACACUAAGCUCAGGUGAUCCUGCCUGGGUGCCAGAAAGGACACCGUCCACAGCUCCAUGGGAAGGGACAACAGGACGCUCUGCAGGUGGGAACUUCCUGGACUCCAGCCUGAGCACCUUCCCCUGGGUUGAUUUUUGUCUGUGUCCUGCUCCUGUGCUAAGCCGUGACCAUGAGUAUAUCAGCUUUCAGUGAGUUUUUCUAGUGAAUUAUCAAACCUGAGGGUGGUCUUGGAGACCCCUACCCUUGUAACUGGUGCAGAACUGAGGGCAGUUUGUGGAUGACGGUUCCCUCUAUCCCUGCAACGAUGUUGACUGUAAGUACAUUAAAGUAUUUGUCAGUAACUGGAAAACUAUAUGCAAAAUGUAGUAAGUGGAUGCCUCUGGGCUGUAGGAUCAUGCACGGGAGUGUAUUCUUGUGUUUUUUAAUUUAUUUUUUGCAAGACACUGUGAUUACAAACAGCGGGAGCUCUGUCAACCAACCUCUGCUCCCACAACUCACAUAAUCUUGGUCAAAAUGGGCUGGAUGACUCAGUGAGCCCCAGGAGGGCGAGGAGCCUGCUCUCUGCUGGUCGUGAAUUUCGUCAGUGGAGAUGUGACCGACCAGAAGACCCUCAGGUUUGCUCCAAACCUGUUGAUGCCACCUGUGAUCCUUACUAGUGUCAGAGGCAUUUGAACCAGAGCGACUCCGUCUUGAACAGGGGCUGGGUGAAAUGAGGCUGAGACCUGUGGGCUGCAUCCCUGGGAAGUUAAGCGUUCUUAGUCACAGGAUGAGUAGGAGGUGGGCAGGAGAUAUAGGUCACAAAGACCCUGCUGAUAAAACAGAAUAUGGUAACGAAGCUGGCUGAAACCAAGACGGUGAUGAAAGUGUCCUCUGGUCACCCUCACUCCUCAUUAUAUACUAAUUAUAACGCACGAGCAUGGCAGUGUCAGGAAGCUACCCUAUGUGGUCUAAAAAGGGGAGCAGCCCUCAGUUACAGGAAUUACCCACCACUUUCCCGGCAAACUCAUGAAUGACCCACCCCUUGUUAUCAAGAAAUAUCAUCAAGAAAUAACUGUAAGUGUAUUUGGUUUGGAGCCCACACCACUGGUUUGCCUACAGAGUAGCCGUUCUUUCAUUCCUUUACUUUCUUCAUAAACUUGCUUUCACUUUGUGG
This is a long non-coding RNA of Macaca fascicularis (crab-eating macaque), 1615 nucleotides long. The record is from Ensembl. Lineage: Eukaryota; Metazoa; Chordata; Mammalia; Primates; Cercopithecidae.